CCUACGGGAGGCAGCAGUGGGGAAUAUUGCACAAUGGGCGAAAGCCUGAUGCAGCGACGCCGCGUGAGUGAAGAAGUAUUUCGGUAUGUAAAGCUCUAUCAGCAAGGAAGAAAAUGACGGUACUUGACUAAGAAGCCCCGGCUAACUACGUGCCAGCAGCCGCGGUAAU
Molecule: ribosomal RNA, 169 nt
Filed under: uncultured Clostridium sp.
Lineage: Bacteria; Bacillati; Bacillota; Clostridia; Eubacteriales; Clostridiaceae
Also listed under: 1 other name
Description: partial 16S ribosomal RNA
Rfam family: Bacterial small subunit ribosomal RNA
Source: RNAcentral